This 429-nucleotide ribosomal RNA is filed under the name Bacillota bacterium. Its description in RNAcentral is "Firmicutes bacterium partial 16S ribosomal RNA". It matches the Rfam family "Bacterial small subunit ribosomal RNA", at positions 355 to 776 of the family's 1533-position model. The record is from RNAcentral. Lineage: Bacteria; Bacillati; Bacillota.
UAGGGAAUCUUCGGCAAUGGACGGAAGUCUGACCGAGCAACGCCGCGUGAGUGAAGAAGGUUUUCGGAUCGUAAAGCUCUGUUGUUAGAGAAGAACGUUGGUAGGAGUGGAAAAUCUACCAAGUGACGGUAACUAACCAGAAAGGGACGGCUAACUACGUGCCAGCAGCCGCGGUAAUACGUAGGUCCUGAGCGUUGUCCGGAUUUAUUGGGCGUAAAGCGAGUGCAGGCGGUUCUUUAAGUCUGAAGUUAAAGGCAGUGGCUUAACCAUUGUACGCUUUGGAAACUGGAGGACAUGAGUGCAGAAGGGGAGGGUGGAAGUCCAUGUGUAGCGGUGAAAUGCGUAGAUAUAUGGAGGAACACCGGUGGCGAAAGCGGCUCUCUGGUCUGUAACUGACGCUGAGGCUCGAAAGCGUGGGGAGCAAACAGG